GGACUACCGGGGUAUCUAAUCCUGUUUGCUCCCCACGCUUUCGCGCCUCAGCGUCAGUUACUGACCAGAAAGCCGCCUUCGCCACUGGUGUUCCUCCACAUCUCUACGCAUUUCACCGCUACACGUGGAAUUCCGCUUUCCUCUUCAGUACUCAAGUUCCCCAGUUUCCAAUGACCCUCCCCGGUUGAGCCGGGGGCUUUCACAUCAGACUUAAGGAACCGCCUGCGCGCGCUUUACGCCCAAUAAUUCCGGACAACGCUUGCCACCUACGUAUUACCGCGGCUGCUGGCAC
RNAcentral lists this ribosomal RNA (292 nucleotides) under uncultured bacterium. RNAcentral's name for it is "partial 16S ribosomal RNA". The record is from RNAcentral.